UCUCUGCUUCAGUCUUUACUUGAAAGAAGAAUAACUCGAAAAAAAAUUGCAAAGCUUGUACAAGGGAACUCAUAGUAAAUGUCAUACAAAAGUAUUUCCGGUAUCCUCUUUCCCUCGUCCCUGCUGCACUAGAACCGUUUCGUGGAUAAUUGCAGCAAGUCUGAUCUGUGCAGCGCUUACAACCAGUGGCCUGUAGCACAAAGCGAAACGAACUAACUCGUUGUACACGGAAGCAGAUCCUGGAAGAUGACAAAAGAUGUCGGCGUUGCACAUGCAAUCUUGUGAAAACCAACAUUUGUUAACAGGAGCAAAGGAAGCAAAGUUUCCCAACUUUAGCAAAGCGUUCAUCACUUCUGAGUGGCGCAUACGCAACUCUCAAAUUAUUGCCUGGAUACCAUUCUCAGACCAAUGGGCAAACAGAGAGGAAGAUCCAGGAAAUUAGGCACUUUCUUUGCACCUAUUCCCAAAGCCACCAAACUCCCUGGCACGGGCUCCUUGCAUGGGCCAAGUAUGCUCAAAUUCUCUUCGUCAAACAGAGACUGGAUUAACACCAUCACAAACUCUCAACAGUGAAUCAUUGGUUCUGGGAACAAAAGGUG
Molecule: long non-coding RNA, 599 nt
Organism: Cyprinus carpio (common carp)
Lineage: Eukaryota; Metazoa; Chordata; Actinopteri; Cypriniformes; Cyprinidae
Source: RefSeq, a predicted model, not a curated record